Molecule: long non-coding RNA, 373 nt
Organism: Schistocerca serialis cubense
Lineage: Eukaryota; Metazoa; Arthropoda; Insecta; Orthoptera; Acrididae
Exons: 3
Source: RefSeq, a predicted model, not a curated record
UGAAAAUAUUGUAGUCGUAUGCUGAAUGGAAGUUUGAAUGAGAAAUCUGAAAAAGCAAACUUUUGCUGGAGUAAUUUAAUGAUGUAGAGUUUCGUGAAAUCUAGUACAGCUGGGUUUCCUGUAUAAGAAAAAGUGAUAUUUAUUUGGUGCUUCUACAUGGUGGUCAAACUAUGGCAGGAAAAGAUGGUGCAGAUGAAGUAGUUAAACAAGGUUUGAUGAUAAAACGGUCUCAAAAUAAAAAGAGAUUCACACCAGUGAAUUACAAGCAGCGAUGGUUCGUCCUCACAAGGCGUUUUUUGAUAUAUUACGACAGUGAUGGCGAGAAGCCGACGCGCAAGGAGCGCGGCCGCGUGGAGGCGUGCACGGUGUCGGU